This 412-nucleotide ribosomal RNA is filed under the name uncultured bacterium. Its description in RNAcentral is "partial 16S ribosomal RNA". It matches the Rfam family "Bacterial small subunit ribosomal RNA", at positions 355 to 757 of the family's 1533-position model. The record is from RNAcentral.
UGGGGAAUUUUGGACAAUUGGGCGAAAGCCUGAUCCAGCAAUGCCGCGUGUGUGAAGAAGGCCUUCGGGUUGUAAAGCACUUUUGUCCGGAAAGAAAUCCUUGGCUCUAAUACAGUCGGGGGAUGACGGUACCGGAAGAAUAAGCACCGGCUAACUACGUGCCAGCAGCCGCGGUAAUACGUAGGGUGCAAGCGUUAAUCGGAAUUACUGGGGCGUAAAGCGUGCGCAGGCGGUUUGCUAAGACCGAUGUGAAAUCCCCGGGCUCAACCUGGGAACUGCAUUGGUGACUGGCAGGCUAGAGUAUGGCAGAGGGGGGUAGAAUUCCACGUGUAGCAGUGAAAUGCGUAGAGAUGUGGAGGAAUACCGAUGGCGAAGGCAGCCCCCUGGGCCAAUACUGACGCUCAUGCACAAG